This is a non-coding RNA of Nomascus leucogenys (northern white-cheeked gibbon), 384 nucleotides long. Lineage: Eukaryota; Metazoa; Chordata; Mammalia; Primates; Hylobatidae. The record is from the annotation of a RefSeq genome assembly.
AUGAGGCUCCCUGCUCAGCUCCUGGGGCUGCUAAUGCUCUAGGUCCCUGGAUCCACUGACGAUAUUGUGAUGACUCAGACUCCACUCUUCCUGUCCAUCACCCUUGGAGAGCCAGCCUCCAUCUCCUGCAGAUCUAGUCAGAGCCUCUUUUAUAGUGAUGACCAAAACAUCUAUUUGGAUUGGUACCUGCAGAAGCCAGGCCAGUCUCCACAGCUCCUGAUCUAUUUUGUUUCCUACCGGGCCUCUGGAGUCCCAGACAGGUUCAGUGGCAGUGGAUCAGGCACUGAUUUCAUACUGAAAAUCAGCAGGUUGGAGGCUGAGGAUGUUGGGGUUUAUUACUGCAUGCAACGUAUAGAGUUUCCUUCCACAAUGGUACAGCCCUGA